Molecule: ribosomal RNA, 508 nt
Filed under: uncultured bacterium
Lineage: Bacteria
Description: partial 16S ribosomal RNA
Rfam family: Bacterial small subunit ribosomal RNA
Source: RNAcentral
GACGAACGCUGGCGGCGUGCCUAAUACAUGCAAGUCGAACGCUUCUUUCCUCCCGAGUGCUUGCACUCAAUUGGAAAGAGGAGUGGCGGACGGGUGAGUAACACGUGGGUAACCUACCCAUCAGAGGGGGAUAACACUUGGAAACAGGUGCUAAUACCGCAUAACAGUUUAUGCCGCAUGGCAUAAGAGUGAAAGGCGCUUUCGGGUGUCGCUGAUGGAUGGACCCGCGGUGCAUUAGCUAGUUGGUGAGGUAACGGCUCACCAAGGCCACGAUGCAUAGCCGACCUGAGAGGGUGAUCGGCCACACUGGGACUGAGGCACGGCCCAGACUCCUACGGGAGGCAGCAGUAGGGAAUCUUCGGCAAUGGACGAAAGUCUGACCGAGCAACGCCGCGUGAGUGAAGAAGGUGUUCGGAUCGUAAAACUCUGUUGUUAGAGAAGAACAAGGACGUUAGUAACUGAACGUCCCCUGACGGUAUCUAACCAGAAAGCCACGGCUAACUACGUG